GGGUUGUGAGGUUAAGCGACUAAGCGUACACGGUGGAUGCCCUGGCAGUCAGAGGCGAUGAAGGACGUGCUAAUCUGCGAAAAGCGACGGCGAGGUGAUAUGAACCUUUGACCCGUCGAUGUCCGAAUGGGGAAACCCAGUGUGUUCCGACACACUAUCGUUAACUGAAUACAUAGGUUAACGAGGCGAACCGGGGGAACUGAAACAUCUAAGUACCCCGAGGAAAAGAAAUCAACCGAGAUUCCCCCAGUAGCGGCGAGCGAACGGGGAGCAGCCCGGAGUCUGAAUCAGCUUGUGUGUUAGUGGAACGGUCUGGAAAGUCCGACGGUACAGGGUGAUAGUCCCGUACACGAAAAUGCACAGGUUGUGAACUCGAAGAGUAGGGCGGGACACGUGGUAUCCUGUCUGAAUAUGGGGGGACCAUCCUCCAAGGCUAAAUACUCCUGACUGACCGAUAGUGAACCAGUACCGUGAGGGAAAGGCGAAAAGAACCCCGGCGAGGGGAGUGAAAAAGAACCUGAAACCGUGUACGUACAAGCAGUGGGAGCACCUUCGGGUGUGACUGCGUACCUUUUGUAUAAUGGGUCAGCGACUUAUAUUCUGUAGCAAGGUUAACCGUAUAGGGGAGCCGAAGGGAAACCGAGUCUUAACUGGGCGUUAAGUUGCAGGGUAUAGACCCGAAACCCGGUGAUCUAGCCAUGGGCAGGUUGAAGGUUGGGUAACACUAACUGGAGGACCGAACCGACUAAUGUUGAAAAAUUAGCGGAUGACCUGUGGCUGGGGGUGAAAGGCCAAUCAAACCGGGAGAUAGCUGGUUCUCCCCGAAAGCUAUUUAGGUAGCGCCUCGUGAACUCAUCUUCGGGGGUAGAGCACUGUUUCGGCUAGGGGGCCAUCCCGGCUUACCAACCCGAUGCAAACUACGAAUACCGAAGAAUGUUAUCACGGGAGACACACGGCGGGUGCUAACGUCCGUCGUGAAGAGGGAAACAACCCAGACCGCCAGCUAAGGUCCCAAAGUCAUGGUUAAGUGGGAAACGAUGUGGGAAGGCACAGACAGCCAGGAUGUUGGCUUAGAAGCAGCCAUCAUUUAAAGAAAGCGUAAUAGCUCACUGGUCGAGUCGGCCUGCGCGGAAGAUGUAACGGGGCUAAACCAUGCACCGAAGCUGCGGCAGCGACACUAUGUGUUGUUGGGUAGGGGAGCGUUCUGUAAGCCGUUGAAGGUGUGCUGUGAGGCAUGCUGGAGGUAUCAGAAGUGCGAAUGCUGACAUAAGUAACGAUAAAGCGGGUGAAAAGCCCGCUCGCCGGAAGACCAAGGGUUCCUGUCCAACGUUAAUCGGGGCAGGGUGAGUCGACCCCUAAGGCGAGGCCGAAAGGCGUAGUCGAUGGGAAACAGGUUAAUAUUCCUGUACUUGGUGUUACUGCGAAGGGGGGACGGAGAAGGCUAUGUCAGCCGGGCGACGGUUGUCCCGGUUUAAGCAUGUAGGCGGAGGUUCCAGGUAAAUCCGGUACCUUUUAACGCUGAGGUGUGAUGACGAGGCACUACGGUGCUGAAGUGAUAAAUGCCCUGCUUCCAGGAAAAGCCUCUAAGCAUCAGGUAACACGAAAUCGUACCCCAAACCGACACAGGUGGUCAGGUAGAGAAUACCAAGGCGCUUGAGAGAACUCGGGUGAAGGAACUAGGCAAAAUGGUGCCGUAACUUCGGGAGAAGGCACGCUGAUAGGUAGGUGAAGCCCCUGCGGGCGGAGCUGAAAUCAGUCGAAGAUACCAGCUGGCUGCAACUGUUUAUUAAAAACACAGCACUGUGCAAACACGAAAGUGGACGUAUACGGUGUGACGCCUGCCCGGUGCCGGAAGGUUAAUUGAUGGGGUUAGCGGCAACGCGAAGCUCUUGAUCGAAGCCCCGGUAAACGGCGGCCGUAACUAUAACGGUCCUAAGGUAGCGAAAUUCCUUGUCGGGUAAGUUCCGACCUGCACGAAUGGCGUAAUGAUGGCCAGGCUGUCUCCACCCGAGACUCAGUGAAAUUGAACUCGCUGUGAAGAUGCAGUGUACCCGCGGCAAGACGGAAAGACCCCGUGAACCUUUACUAUAGCUUGACACUGAACACUGGUCCUUGAUGUGUAGGAUAGGUGGGAGGCUUUGAAGCGUGGACGCCAGUCUGCGUGGAGCCAUCCUUGAAAUACCACCCUUUAAUGGCUGGUGUUCUAACGUAGACCCGUGAUCCGGGUUGCGGACAGUGUCUGGUGGGUAGUUUGACUGGGGCGGUCUCCUCCCAAAGAGUAACGGAGGAGCACGAAGGUUGGCUAAUCCUGGUCGGACAUCAGGAGGUUAGUGCAAUGGCAUAAGCCAGCUUGACUGCGAGCGUGACGGCGCGAGCAGGUGCGAAAGCAGGUCAUAGUGAUCCGGUGGUUCUGAAUGGAAGGGCCAUCGCUCAACGGAUAAAAGGUACUCCGGGGAUAACAGGCUGAUACCGCCCAAGAGUUCAUAUCGACGGCGGUGUUUGGCACCUCGAUGUCGGCUCAUCACAUCCUGGGGCUGAAGUAGGUCCCAAGGGUAUGGCUGUUCGCCAUUUAAAGUGGUACGCGAGCUGGGUUUAGAACGUCGUGAGACAGUUCGGUCCCUAUCUGCCGUGGGCGCUGGAGAAUUGAGGGGGGCUGCUCCUAGUACGAGAGGACCGGAGUGGACGCAUCACUGGUGUUCGGGUUGUCAUGCCAAUGGCACUGCCCGGUAGCUAAAUGCGGAAGAGAUAAGUGCUGAAAGCAUCUAAGCACGAAACUUGCCCCGAGAUGAGUUCUCCCUGAGACUUUAAGUCUCCUGAAGGAACGUUGAAGACGACGACGUUGAUAGGUCGGGUGUGUAAGCGCAGCGAUGCGUUGAGCUAACCGAUACUAAUGAACCGUGAGGCUUAACCUUACAACGCCGAAGGUGUUU
Molecule: ribosomal RNA, 2930 nt
Filed under: Enterobacter cloacae
Lineage: Bacteria; Pseudomonadati; Pseudomonadota; Gammaproteobacteria; Enterobacterales; Enterobacteriaceae
Description: 23S ribosomal RNA
Rfam family: Bacterial large subunit ribosomal RNA
Source: RNAcentral